AAUCUACGGGCGAAUCAUUGGCAGGAGGUUGCUGAUGAUGUUGGUUCUAGAUGCCCUGUUGAUCCACCGAAGACCGCUGUGCAAUGCCGGCAUAAGAUGGAGAAGCUUCGGAAACGUUAUCGUGCUGAAAUCCAGCGUGCUGCUCCGUAUGGUGGGCCUCGAUCUCAUCGUUAUUGCUCUGCUUGGGUGCAUUUUAAGCGUAUGGAUAUGAUGGAGAGAGGUCCUAAUGCUGUUUCUCCGCCGCCCAGUGAGGAUGAAGCUGAUGAGGAUGUAGAAGAUUACCAUCAAAACGGCGUUAAACUUGUUGGGGAUUUGUAUGGUAACAAUGUGCAUGCGGGUAAUCGGAGUAGUUUCCAAGGGGUUGUGAGUAAUGGAGGAGGCGGGUUUAGGAUCCGGAUACCUGGGAUGCCCGGGUUAGCUCCUCCAAUGGCGAAACCGUAUAGUAGAUUUGAGGAGGCUCGAGUUGAAACCCCUAGUAAUUUUGGGUCUAGUCAGAUGUUCAGGGAUGGAUUCGUGAAGAAAGCUGAUUUGGGGAAAAGGGUUGUUGGUGAAGGAGUGAGGGAGAAGAAAAAGGAGGAUCCCAUGGUGGAAAUGGUGGCUGCGAUAAAGGUAUUAGGUGAUGGAUUCGUCCGAAUGGAGAGGAUGAAGAUGGACGCGGCAAGAGAGUUGGAACGGAUGAGAAUGGAAAUGGAGA
Molecule: unclassified non-coding RNA, 694 nt
Filed under: Hevea brasiliensis (rubber tree)
Lineage: Eukaryota; Viridiplantae; Streptophyta; Magnoliopsida; Malpighiales; Euphorbiaceae
Source: RNAcentral